Molecule: ribosomal RNA, 468 nt
Filed under: uncultured bacterium
Lineage: Bacteria
Description: bacterial SSU rRNA
Rfam family: Bacterial small subunit ribosomal RNA
Source: RNAcentral
CAUGCAAGUCGAACGGUAACAGGAAGCAGCUUGCUGCUUCGCUGACGAGUGGCGGACGGGUGAGUAAUGUCUGGGGAUCUGCCCGAUGGAGGGGGAUAACCACUGGAAACGGUGGCUAAUACCGCAUAACGUCGCAAGACCAAAGUGGGGGACCUUCGGGCCUCACACCAUCGGAUGAACCCAGAUGGGAUUAGCUAGUAGGUGGGGUAACGGCUCACCUAGGCGACGAUCCCUAGCUGGUCUGAGAGGAUGACCAGCCACACUGGAACUGAGACACGGUCCAGACUCCUACGGGAGGCAGCAGUGGGGAAUAUUGCACAAUGGGCGCAAGCCUGAUGCAGCCAUGCCGCGUGUAUGAAGAAGGCCUUCGGGUUGUAAAGUACUUUCAGCGGGGAGGAAGGGAUGGUGCUUAAUACGCGCCGUCAUUGACGUUACCCGCAGAAGAAGCACCGGCUAACUCCGUGCCAG